UCGGACUGCAGUCUGCAACUCGACUGCACGAAGCUGGAAUCGCUAGUAAUCGCAGAUCAGAAUGCUGCGGUGAAUACGUUCCCGGGUCUUGUACACACCGCCCGUCACACCAUGGGAGUCAGUAACGCCCGAAGUCAGUGACCUAACCGCAAGGGAGGAGCUGCCGAAGGCGGGACCGAUAACUGGGGUGAAGUCGUAACAAGGUAGC
This 208-nucleotide ribosomal RNA is filed under the name uncultured bacterium. Its description in RNAcentral is "partial 16S ribosomal RNA". It matches the Rfam family "Bacterial small subunit ribosomal RNA", at positions 1293 to 1500 of the family's 1533-position model. The record is from RNAcentral.